GCGGGAGUAGCUCACUGGGUAGAGCGCGACCUUCCCAAGGUCGAGGUAGCGGGUUCGAAGCCCGUCUCCCGCUCCA
Molecule: transfer RNA, 76 nt
Filed under: bacterium
Lineage: Bacteria
Description: tRNA-Gly
Rfam family: tRNA
About the family: Transfer RNA (tRNA) molecules are approximately 80 nucleotides in length.
Source: RNAcentral